This 447-nucleotide long non-coding RNA is filed under the name Homo sapiens (human). RNAcentral describes it as "HSALNT0246626". Lineage: Eukaryota; Metazoa; Chordata; Mammalia; Primates; Hominidae. The record is from RNAcentral.
CUGGAUGUUUCGGGAGAAUGUGAGAGGAGAGGGGAGCAGGCCCUGUGCUGGGUGCAGACCCGUCUGAGUGCGCUGAGAAGACGUCAGGUGAAGGCCGGGGUAGCCGGGUGUCUUCUUUCUUCUGUGUCCACCUUCAUUUUGUCCUCUUCCUCUUUUUGCCCAGUGUCUUCUGAGUGGGUGGAGCCAGGCGUGCCCACCAGAUGCGGGUAGCAUGUGCUAGGCCAGGACGGCCCCCAGGCUCAAGUCGGCCUCCUCCUGGGCAGAGGACUCCCCGAGAGGGAGGCAACGUGUCAGGACGGUGUAUGUGGAGAGAGGGUCGAGGCUCGGUGCCUGAGCACGGGCAGGAGGACAGUGGCCUCGAUGCCAGAGACGGGAGGGAGAGACGUGACGAUGAGGCUGCAUAAGAAGAGAGCUGACUGUAGCUGAGUGUAUCAGCCACUCACCGAG